Molecule: ribosomal RNA, 450 nt
Filed under: uncultured bacterium
Lineage: Bacteria
Description: bacterial SSU rRNA
Rfam family: Bacterial small subunit ribosomal RNA
Source: RNAcentral
GUGGGGAAUAUUGGACAAUGGGCGAAAGCCUGAUCCAGCCAUGCCGCGUGUGUGAAGAAGGUCUUCGGAUUGUAAAGCACUUUAAGUUGGGAGGAAGGGCAGUAAGUUAAUACCUUGCUGUUUUGACGUUACUGACAGAAUAAGCACCGGCUAACUUCGUGCCAGCAGCCGCGGUAAUACGAAGGGUGCAAGCGUUAAUCGGAAUUACUGGGCGUAAAGCGCGCGUAGGUGGUUUUGUAAGUUGGAGGUGAAAUCCCCGGGCUCAACCUGGGAACUGCCUCCAAAACUACUGAGCUAGAGUACGGUAGAGGGUAGUGGAAUUUCCUGUGUAGCGGUGAAAUGCGUAGAUAUAGGAAGGAACACCAGUGGCGAAGGCGACUACCUGGACUGAUACUGACACUGAGGUGCGAAAGCGUGGGGAGCAAACAGGAUUAGAAACCCGGGUAGUCC